CACAUUCCUUGACUCGUGGCGCUGCAUCAUUCAAUCUGAUUCUGUCUCCGUCACCUCUCCUUCUCUGACUCACUUGCCUUUCUCACUUAUAAGGACCCUUGUGAUACGUUGCACCCUCCUGGGAAGUCCAGAAUGAUCUCCCCAUCUCAAGAUCGGUAAUUUAAUGACAUCUGCAAAUUCCCUUUGACACACAAGGAGGAAUCUGGUGAGAUUCUGGGUAUGAUACAUCCCGGGGCAAAAUUCCUCUCCAUCGGUGGACCUGUGGAACUAGAAUUCUACACCUUAGUGUCAUCAUCUGUAGAAGAGGCUUAUUAAUUUCUCUACCUCUCCAUGUCAUCAUCUGUAGAAAAGAGUAUCUCUGUCUCAUGGAAGAUGGCGGAAGAGGGAUGGUUCUAGGAAAUUCACGAACGCCUAGGAAGAUGUGGCUCCUAAAAAGGUGCUUAUUUGCGGGAUGAAAUACGGCUCUUCCUGUGCGCAAACCCAGGCAAUUCCAUGGGGCCAUAAAGGUGCGGGC
This 514-nucleotide long non-coding RNA is filed under the name Equus caballus (horse). RNAcentral describes it as "lncRNA (ENSECAG00000053268.1)". Lineage: Eukaryota; Metazoa; Chordata; Mammalia; Perissodactyla; Equidae. The record is from RNAcentral.